Molecule: long non-coding RNA, 5360 nt
Filed under: Homo sapiens (human)
Lineage: Eukaryota; Metazoa; Chordata; Mammalia; Primates; Hominidae
Description: HSALNT0329919
Source: RNAcentral
GCCACAGCUUCCCAAACUUGGGAUUACAGGCAUGAGCCACCAUACCCGGCGCUCCUCCUUUCUUACAGCUACAUAGUCAUUCAGUUUAUUUAUCCAGUCCCUUACUGAUGGACAUUUAGUUUGUUUCUGAUAUUUUGCUUCGCAAACAAGAACAUCUAAUACACUUAGUGCACAUGUAUGAGUGUUUCUUGAGGAUUUAUUCCUAGAAGAGAGAUUGCUGGCUCAAAAUAUGUAUGAAUUUUUCAUUUUGAAAAAUACUGCCAAGUUGGAGUGGAGAACUUUUUUCUGUGAAGGAGCCCUCCAUCCCUAGAGCUGAACCAGUGAUGAAAGGCACUCCGGGUAGAAAGAGCAUGGACUUUCCAUUCAGAUGUAUUUGGGUUCAAAUCCCAGUUCUGCCACCUUUUUCCUGUGUGACCUUGGUUAAGUCACUUAACCUCUCUGAUUUUCUGUUUCCUUAACUGCCCAGUGGAAAUAGUAAGAGCCGCCUCACAAAGCUGUUGCAAGGAUCAAAUGGCAUCUUGUAGGUCAAUCCUCUAGCGUGGGCCUGGUACGCAGUAGGCUCUUGGCCCAUGUUAGUUUCCUUUCCCUGACUGAACCCUUUUCUGCAUCCAUCAUGGAAGACAAGCUCUGGGGAGUGGCUGGGGAAGGUGAUUUAUUAAUGAACGUCACACAGAAGUCAGGACUCCACAGUGGCUCCUUCUAAAGGUCACCUCUAAAGGCAACUCUUAGAGGUAAGGACCAUUUCACGUAAAGUUGUAAGGAUCUGCUUUUGAGAACAUAGGCUAGGGUGCCGACAGAGAUCAGACCUUACUGGAGGACCUCUUCCUAAAUGAUCCCUUCAUCCCAGACACUGCCCUCCAUGCCUCAGUCUCUGCAGAAGAGGAGAAAGAGAAUCCUCCUCAACAAGAGGAGGGUGGCUGGCUUUUACACAGGGAGUGGCUAGACUGGUCUCUUCGCAGAGAAUAGAACCAGAAAACAGACAUCAGACAGACUGAGGUCGGGCAGCAGGGUGGCAUUUCUGUCUUGGACACACAGCAUGAGUGUGAGGGAAGCAGCAGGGUGCCCCACUGGAGGUCCCUACCCAGGAUGGCCUAUCCAUCUCCGUGUCUUGGUUCAGCGGGAGAGGUCUGGAAAUCCUUUGGAGGUGGUGGCCAGAUUGCAUCCAUAGUCCCAGCCAGACCCUCAGCAAUGCCAAGAGCCUCUUAGCUGCAGGUCACUGUGCUCCACUGUCUGUAGGCCACUGCCCCACCUUCAGGGCUAUAGUUUCUUUCUUCUGGAAACCACACAGGACAUGAGAAUCCCAGACUGGGCUGCCCUUCCUGGAAGAGGAUGUGUGUGUGAGCCCAGCAGCCGCUGUGAUGGGGCCCGAGGUGGUGAUACUGGCAAAAAAAAGGGGGAGCUAAGCAGCAUGGUGGUAGCAGUGGUGACAAGGCCUCCAGUACAUGUAGCCAUGAUGAGUGACACUCAGUAGGGUAGGCUGUGGUGCCUUUAUCCAGAGUCUAAAUGCUUGCUUUCAGUUCCACCUCCAUAUAUUACAUGCUGUGUGGCCUGGGGACAGUAGCUUUCCCUUUCUGACCUCGGUUUCUUCAUCAGUAAAAUGAAGAUGCUAAUACCACCUGUCCUGUCUUCCUCAAUGUCUCCAACCAGCAGGUGCCUUUAACAUGCCACGAGGCAAGAGUGAACUCAGGUGGAGGUACUUUGCUAAAAGCAGCCCAGGUAGGAGGAGAUGACUGAGUAGAACUGGCCGUGUUAUCCUCAGAAUGAUUUCUUGCUUCCCCAGGAGACUCCUGUUGCUGUGACGAUUUUUCCUGGUUCUCAGUCCCUGGACUCUGGGAUAGCUGAGAUCUUCUGGCUCUCGCCUCACAUAGCAUCUCACAGUGAUGUCCUGGCUUCCUGCCUAGGCCCCAAUCACCAGUUCUGGUGCUGACCCUGCAGGUCCUAGCUCCCUCCCAGCCGGCCUAGAGACAGGGCCCAGGCUCAUUGGAAGGAACAACAGGAGACUUGCCUGAAAGCCAAAUGUUCUACCCAACAGGACCUGAUUAUGGUGGCCAAGGGGCUGUACCUGGGCAGUCUCACCCAAGGGACACUUCUCAGGGGUCAGGAGAAUUUCAGCUCUGUGUUUACACAUGAUUCUAGGCUGAGGGAGAGAGAAAAAGCAGGGUAGGGGGUGGCAGAUUAGGCGAGGGAAUGUGUCCCCUAGAUGGUCCCUUAGCUCAUAGUGGAAGUGGGCUCUAGAGCGCCUUGCCCAUGCCCUCUUCAUGCUCUAGAGAGGUGGGCAAAGGACAAAGUAUGCGACUACCCAGGAGAACCAGCCUCCAGAUUGAGAUUGGAGAUGAAGGCCACUCAGUCCCCUCCAUUGCAAAAAGAAUAAAAGAAAGGAGUAGGAUUGGCCAUUGCUUGCAAAUAAACAGGAGGGGGCAGUGUUGGGGUAAUGACCUCCAUCCGGGGAGGGUCAGGAAGGGAGCUGUCCUUUACUGGGCACCCAGGAGAUGCACCUGUACAAUUUCAUUCAUUCUCACGACCACCUCGUUAGGUAGGCACUAUCUCUGUGGCUCCAUUUGGCCAAUGAAAAGGAUGAAGAUCUGAGAAGUCAAGUUACACUGCUAGGAAGAGGUUGACUUGGAGUGGAAACCCAGGACUGCCUGUCUGACUGCUGAAUGGGUGCUUUGCGUUCCUUACCUGCCCUCCCAGGGCUCCAGACCGUCCCUCCUGCACAUCUGCCUCUCCCAGGCCGUGCCUGCAUGUCCCCAGCCCCCUCCAACAGCUCCAUCUCCCGAGAGCUCCUUGAAUCUCCUCACUCACUCCUCACUCUUGCUUCCUCUUUGGAAUCCAGCCACAGGCUUUUUUCUUCCAUCUGAGGGAGAGAAAAUGGUCUCGUUCCCCACCCCCAGGUCUUUCCAUCCUCUCAUCCAUCCAAACCUAAGCAUCUCUCACUCCUCCCCUCCCCCUCUCUUAUUUUUUUUUUCUUUCUGUUUAUCCAUCACUAGAAUCUACCCCCCUUCCCUCUUGCCUGUAGGUUCUGUGGCUAUAAACAAAUCAUAACUUUUAUUAAAUUUAAGAUUACUUUUUAAUGGAAUCAAUUUCUUGUGUGGUGCUUCUCUGCCUGCCCGCGGGCUCUGCCGGCUCUGCGCUCAGCAUCCCCACCCGCACAGUUGUCUCUGCCGCUGGCGUUUCUGGCUAAGCUGCCUCUGAAGGAGGGGCAGGUCUGCCAUCCCUAAACACACACAGAGAAACACACACACACAUGCACACACUCCCACACACACACGAAGAUGCACCUUCCUGCAAGGCCCAGACACAGAGCCGCCAAGCCCCAGGUGCCCACACUGAGCGGCAGGGAGUGGGAGAGGGGCAGGGGCAGGAGGAGAGAGCUGCAGAGAGAAAGACUGAGGGUGCAAAACAAAUGCGGAGCCGAGCAGACAUUUCUCAGCCUGUUAAUUUCCUACAGUUCUGUUUUCCAGCCUCAGAAACAAGCUGGUUUCUGCCAGUCCACCCCCUUCCCUCUGACUGCAUUGUGCAGCUGCUGAGCAGAGAGAAGUUGCAGGGAGGAGGGGGUUCCAGAGGAGAAGCGAAGAGACUCAGGUUUUCAUACGAUUUAUCAAAGUACAGGCAAGAUGCAGAGAUGCUUCUGAAGCUGUGACCCCAAAAAGAAGCUCAACUGGGAGAUUUGCAGCCUGGACCAGUCUAACCCUACAGGAGGCUGUUUCAACGGGCUCAGCAACUCCCUCGGUUUGACCCCUGACACAAGCAUGCCUGCUGAAUCUACACCUGGACCUAAAGACUUGUAGAGUCCUUUCUGGGGCUGGAUGUUCCCACAGGACAAUUACCAGUCAUGCAUACAGAGCUUUGCUGCCCAAGGGGACUUUCUGAGGGCUGAAUAUUAUUUACUUCAACUCUCCUUUGACAAGGCACCUGAGGCCCAGAUGGGGAAAGUCACACAGGACUGUGAUGGGGCCUGAUCGAGAUCUCCUGAAUCUUCCCAGUGCUGCUUGCUGUGCUUUGUGGCCCUUCCUCUGGCUGUAACUGUAAUCCCACCUAUACCUUAGGUUGCACAUGCUCAUACAGCGCUUACCAUGAGCCACCCUCUGAGGCAGGUACUGUUAUGAUUCCCAUUUUACAGCUGGGGAGGCUGAGGCUCAGAGAGGUUAAAUACUUCCCUAAGCUAGUAUGUGGUCGAGCUAGAAUUUGAAACCAGAAUGUCCUGCCCCAGAAUCUAGACUCCUAACCACUGGGCUGUGCUACCUCUCUUCUCUGGAAGCUUCACCUGUACCUGGACACAUUUACCUUCACUUUCCUCUUCUCCUGUCCUUAGCUUUCACCACCACCUUCACAAUUUCUCAUUUCAGGCUAAGCCAGAUAAUCACCCCAGACACAAGGGCAGGCUCAGCACUGCUAUCAAAAUCCCUUUUCCUUUUAUCUUCUCCAUCACCAUCUUAGCCUUAUCGCGUUCACUAUCAUGAUCAACUUCACCAUUUAUAAAGUCUCUAAUUGCAAAUGACUGUGUACCUAUAGACCAAUGCAGAUCUAACCCCUGCCUUGGGAUGGGAGGAUGGGGCUUACAGUCAAACCAAACAGCAGUUUAAGCCACAUAUACUCCUCCCUUUGUAAGUAAAGGUACGAAACCAGAAUGUGGAAGGCAGUCUUCUUCUUAAGAGAUUUUUCUGCAAUAAGAUGGAGGUGGUGAAGGAGAAGUUUCGAACAGCCAAAGAGUGCCUGCUGAGGGAAAUUAAUCAAUGGCCAAGAAGAUUGCUUGUCAUCUUUCAAUAUCUAUAAGAAAUAACGAGCCUCCAGAGAGGGAGCUAGAGCUCCAAGGGAAAAGAAGACCAGUGGGUACUCUGUCCAACUCAUGCCUCUAAGGAGCUACAGGAGAAAGAUGGAGCCAUAGGCAGCUUCCACCCCUUUGGAUGGUGGCCAACACCCAUCUCCCCAGCCACAGUAUCUCUCACAGCCCCUGGGGAAGCCAGAAGCAAGCAACACUGCCCAGGAGUUUUAAAACUGAUUCUUCCCUUAAGCUCAAGUCCCACCCACCUCCCAACCCAGUGAGCUUGCUGGUUGGCUGUCCAUGAGUGUUGGCUGCCAGAUGUGCCAUCAUCCGGCACAGGAUGUACAGGAAAGAGGGCAAUGGCUUCCCGGACCAGAGUCUCCACCCAGAAUUCCAGCCAAGGCCCCAGAGCUCCCAGGACCUGGAGAAUUUGUUCCCCCUGGUUGUGUUUGGAAUUGGCUGGUUUUCUGGGCACCAGGCCCAGCUCAGUUUAAUUUUUGUUUAUUUUUAUGUACAGAUUCUCUUCUGUUUGGGGAUGAGCUUUGUGUAAAUUAUUAUUAUUUAUAUGAUAAAGAAUAAAUCACACCAAAUAAAAAAA